Molecule: small RNA, 1140 nt
Filed under: Rattus norvegicus (Norway rat)
Lineage: Eukaryota; Metazoa; Chordata; Mammalia; Rodentia; Muridae
Description: uncharacterized LOC102553441
Source: RNAcentral
UGUUUCUGAAAAUUCUAACAUCCAAACACAAGUCAGUAUUCCAAUCCACAGCAAAUAAGAUAGUCAGUAUUCCAUUCCAUAGCAACAGAAGAUAGAAAGACUCCCUUACAUUAACAGAUCAGUCCAUCUCUCAAACCUCAUAAGAAAUGUUUCCUUUUGUGUUAGAUGGUGAUGACAACUAACACAGAGACCCACACUAGUCAAGAUUCCUGGAGACUGCAUCAUUUGUAACAAAUGGAGGUUUAUUUGGCUUGGGAUGAGGGAAGCAGAGUGAAGAAGUAUGCUUUCUGUGUCUAGUAGGGUUCCUAAUGCUGCAUCAUUCUGUGGUGUGAGCCCAGUCUACCUAGGAACCAGCAUCUAGAAAGAAGACAGCUACAAGAGAGAAGACAGUACCUGUGCACCCAGGCCCUUCAGUCAUGUGUGCAUGAAGUAAAGAAUAGGAGUUCCCUAGAUCAGAAUGGCCGUGGUUUCUUCAGUUGCCUCUCACCUUUAUGAAGAAUGAACUGUGGGGUAUUUGGAUCCUCUUUGUCACCCCAGUAAAGAAAUCUCUUUCCAUGUGAAGGAAUCCAGCCCUCAGCUCUAAGCCUACAAGCAUGAAGAUUAGGAGCAUGUGUUUAUGCGAGCCAAGUGCAAGCUGAUACCCCUGGAGGCCAGCAGAGGCCAUUGAAUCCUCUGGAAAUGAAAUUACAGGCAGCUGUGAUGGGUGCCUGACCCUGGAUCCACUGCAAGGAGAAAUCCCCUGAACAGUUGGUGACUAGAUGAUAUAACAUGUUAUCUACAGAACAAGACUAGAAUAAUAGUUUUAAGAUCAUUCCAUUAAAUGUAGAGAAGUUAAAGGAAGACACGAUGGACAGUAAUGAGAUUCCACAUCUGAGACUGGGCAGCAGCUCCCAGCCAGACUGGCCCAGCAUGCACUGAUUUAGCUCACUUUACCUCACAUUCAGUCGCAUCCAUCAACAACUGUCAAGAUACUGAUGAUACCCUUACAGAAGCUGGCAACCUGAGGGCAGGCCGGAUGAAAGAGUGACGAAAGGCUGGGACGUUGUGACUUCUUUGGCGAGAGCUCACCCUCUGAAUGGAAAGCUGACUCUGUUUCGGGGCCUUAGGAAAAGGUCUAAUAAACGUGCUCUGGUAAUCUUC